This 84-nucleotide transfer RNA is filed under the name Treponema sp. Its description in RNAcentral is "tRNA-Leu". It matches the Rfam family "tRNA". Rfam says of the family: Transfer RNA (tRNA) molecules are approximately 80 nucleotides in length. Their secondary structure includes four short double-helical elements and three loops (D, anti-codon, and T loops). Further hydrogen bonds mediate the characteristic L-shaped molecular structure. tRNAs have two regions of fundamental functional importance: the anti-codon, which is responsible for specific mRNA codon recognition, and the 3' end, to which the tRNAs corresponding amino acid is attached (by aminoacyl-tRNA synthetases). tRNAs cope with the degeneracy of the genetic code in two manners: having more than one tRNA (with a specific anti-codon) for a particular amino acid; and 'wobble' base-pairing, i.e. permitting non-standard base-pairing at the 3rd anti-codon position. RNAcentral also lists the same sequence under 1 other name. Lineage: Bacteria; Pseudomonadati; Spirochaetota; Spirochaetia; Treponematales; Treponemataceae. The record is from RNAcentral.
GCCCGGAUGGCGGAAUUGGUAGACGCGCUAGGUUCAGGUCCUAGUGGGAGCAAUCCUGUAGGAGUUCAAGUCUCCUUUCGGGUA